Molecule: ribosomal RNA, 508 nt
Filed under: uncultured bacterium
Lineage: Bacteria
Description: partial 16S ribosomal RNA
Rfam family: Bacterial small subunit ribosomal RNA
Source: RNAcentral
GACGAGCGCUGGCGGCGUGCCUAAUACAUGCAAGUCGAACGCUUCUUUCCUCCCGAGUGCUUGCACUCAAUUGGAAAGAGGAGUGGCGGACGGGUGAGUAACACGUGGGUAACCUACCCAUCAGAGGGGGAUAACACUUGGAAACAGGUGCUAAUACCGCAUAACAGUUUAUGCCGCAUGGCAUAAGAGUGAAAGGCGCUUUCGGGUGUCGCUGAUGGAUGGACCCGCGGUGCAUUAGCUAGUUGGUGAGGUAACGGCUCACCAAGGCCACGAUGCAUAGCCGACCUGAGAGGGUGAUCGGCCACACUGGGACUGAGACACGGCCCAGACUCCUACGGGAGGCAGCAGUAGGGAAUCUUCGGCAAUGGACGAAAGUCUGACCGAGCAACGCCGCGUGAGUGAAGAAGGUUUUCGGAUCGUAAAACUCUGUUGUUAGAGAAGAACAAGGACGUUAGUAACUGAACGUCCCCUGACGGUAUCUAACCAGAAAGCCACGGCUAACUACGUG